GCAUUUAUUAGAUAAAAAGCCARUGCAUGCUUUUACAGUAUGAAAAUUGGUGAUUUAUAAUAACUUAGCAAAUCGCAAAGUGAAAACAGGCGAUAAAUCAUUCAAGUUUCUGACCUAUCAGCUUUCGACGGUAUGGUAUUGGCUUACCGUGGCAGUGACGGUUAACGGGGGAUUAGGGUUCGAUUCCGGAGAGGGAGCCUGAGAAACGGCUACCACAUCUAAGGAAGGCAGCAGGCGCGCAAAUUACCCAAUUCUAACAGUUUGAGAGAGGUAGUAACAAGAAAUAACAAUACAAGGCAGUUAAAAUGCUUUGUAAUUGGAAUGAUAGAAAUUUAAACCCUUUUUAAAGUAUCAAUUGGAGGGCAAGUCUGGUGCCAGCAGCCGCGGUAAUUCCAGCUCCAAUAGCGUAUAUUAAAAUUGUUGCAGUUAAAAAGCUCGUAGUUGAAGUUCUGCUAAAAGUAACCGGUCUGCUUUUAAUAAAAGUGGUAUCUUGGUGUGUAUUUAGCAAUGAUGUC
Molecule: ribosomal RNA, 515 nt
Filed under: Hepatozoon canis
Lineage: Eukaryota; Apicomplexa; Hepatozoidae
Description: SSU rRNA
Source: RNAcentral